RNAcentral lists this ribosomal RNA (486 nucleotides) under uncultured bacterium. Its description in RNAcentral is "bacterial SSU rRNA". It matches the Rfam family "Bacterial small subunit ribosomal RNA", at positions 29 to 509 of the family's 1533-position model. The record is from RNAcentral.
AUGAACGCUAGCGGCAGGCUUAACACAUGCAAGUCGAGGGGCAGCGAGGAGUAGCAAUACUCUGUCGGCGACCGGCGAAAGGGUGAGUAACGCGUGAGCAACAUGCCCGAUAGUGGAGGAUAGUCGAUGGAAAACGUCGCGUAAUACUCCGUAACAUACGGGACCGCAUGAUUCUGUAUUAAUAGAUUUAUUGCUAUCGGAUUGGCUCGCGUACCAUUAGCUAGUUGGCGGGGUAACGGCCCACCAAGGCGACGAUGGUUAGGGGUUCUGAGAGGAAGGUCCCCCACAUUGGAACUGAGACACGGUCCAGACUCCUACGGGAGGCAGCAGUGAGGAAUAUUGGACAAUGGCCGGAAGGCUGAUCCAGCCAUGCCGCGUGCGGGAGGACGGCCCUAUGGGUUGUAAACCGCUUUGUUAGGGAGCAAUAAGGAGCACGUGUGCUCUGAUGAGAGUACCCAGCGAAUAAGCAUCGGCUAACUCCGUGCC